CCUCCCCCUGCGCCUGGGCGGCUGCCCCCGAGCACUCUCGAGCUAACUGUGCGGCUCCCGGGCCCUCUGCCCGCUCCCAGGCAUGGCGGCCUGCCGCUUGGCGUUCCUGGUGGGCCUCGCUUUCUCCUUGGCCACCCUGGUCCAGAGAGGAUUCGGAGAUGCUGGUAAUGGUCUCAACUUGGAAGAUGCGCUGCAAGAAACUUCUUCAGUAAAGCAAGAUUCGGACACGCAUUUCUUUGAUCCACAGACAACCCCAAGGACCUAUCCAAAAAAGACAGAAAGAUGGGGUCGUCUCACCACUACCACAACCAGGAGGCCUGCAAUGACCCAAGCGCCAGCAAAUCUUCCAGAUUAUGGUGAUUUUAACUUGGCUGACGCCUUGGAUGAUCGCAAUGAUCAAGAUGACGGCCGCAGGAAACCAAGUGCAGGAGGAGGAGGCUUUUCAGACAAGGAUCUGGAAGAUCUCGUAGGGGGCGGUGGCUACAAACCCGACAGGAACAAAGGUGGUGGCCCCUACGGCAGCAGUGAUGACUCAGAAUCUGGAAUGUCUAUAGAGACUGGCACCAUUGCCGGGGUGGCCAGCACCCUGGCCAUGGCCCUCAUUGGCGCCGUCUCCAGCUACAUCUCCUACCAGCAGAAGAAGUUCUGCUUCAGCAUCCAGCAGGGCCUCAAUGCAGACUACGUGAAGGGGGAGAACCUGGAAGCCGUGGUGUGCGAGGAGCCCCAAGGAUUCCUGAGAGUAAUACACUUUGAAACCUGCUAGCCAGCAUCGAGCGAGCACCGUCUAUGGGCUGUGCUGAGUGCCUGAGGAAUUGUCUUUAUUUACAGCCCCUCUCCGCAGCCUUUGAGAUACUCAUCACUGCAAACCCAGUAGGCAGAGCCGCCGCCGCCUGAGCAGCCCCGGAUCUGAGGCACCCGCUUGAGCCCCAGCCCCUCUCUCAUUUGGAUCCACAGCUGCUGUGCUGCUUUGUUGACGUCAUUGCUGCUCGUUGCUCUCAGUUCUCUGGAUAAGCUCUUGGUAUUUGCCAGUUUGGUUUCAGGCCCUCAGUGCAGGGUGGGCCACGCACCUGCCAGGCACUCUGCAGAGGUGUGGUACUGCAAGCCAAGCCCUGCUCGGGCAGAGCCAGCACCAGCCUGCCCGCCAAGGACGAGGAUGAAGAAAGCUACUUAUGCUUAGGGGACAAGACCUGAACCCAGGGUAGUGUGAUCCAUGGACGUGCUGGCUUGGCUCUUCGUGGUGGGCCUGCCUGGGGCAGCAACUUCAAAAGCUGUAAAUGGGGUAAGCCCCUAGCUAAUACCUGGUAUGUGCAGUGUUUAGGGGUAUCCUUGGAGCUCCUGCAGGGAGCAACCCAGUCAGCACCAAGUAGCACCACACACACACGUACACGCACAUACAUACAUGCAUACCCAUGCACACAGGCACACACAUGCACACACACACCAGCCAGAGGGGCGCUUUUAUUUUGGCCCUCUUUUUUGGAUGACAGGUUUGAAGGGCUGGGCUUGCAGAGAGCUGGCGCGAGUGGAGACUUCCAGUUAUUUAAGUGCAGACGUGCAUCUCAUCACAGUCCUACCAUCAGCGUUUAGGGCUUUCAGGCCUCAUUCCAUCUGAUUCCACAGGGAAUGGGUGUGGGGCUGAAGGCUGCCAUGAUUCAAGUUUCCAGGACUCAUUUGUGCACUGGAUAUGAGUGUUAUGCUGAGUGGGCGGGGUGGGGGAGACGCUGACCCUCCACUCUAUGUAUGUUCUUAUUUUGGUUCCCAAAGCUACAGAUGUCAAGAAUGAGCAUCAAAGCCAGCAGCAUGCUUGGGGUUUGCUUAAAAAUUUUUGGGGGGGGUGUGGGGAGGGAAGAGAUGUUUGCUCGGUUUCGUGACACACCCAUGGCGGGGGAACUCUGUCGUCAUCCUGCCUGUCCCGCUCCAACAAAGGGCACCCUGGAACCUAAGGCCUGGCACUUACCCACACCGAAGUGGUCUGGAUUGGGCCAGAGCAGAGCUGGCUUCUUGGAAUGUUCCGUGUGGAUCCAGGGUCAAGGUUGUCCCAGCUCUGCUGAGCUGAGUCUUGAGCCCCCGACUACUGGUGAUUAGUCAGUGGGAAGUUAAGAGUCCUAUUUCCACAAAUCUGCUUGCCUCCUUGGACUGUGGACCGCCUCGAGCAUCCCCUCGCCUGCGUGGCUCCUUCACGUCCACGGUCUGGAGAACAUACUGGUUGUGGUCAGUAGUAAGAUGGAGCACUGCGUCUUCAGGCUGCCUUUAGGAUCAACUCCGUACGGAUGUGCGGGGCUCCGAAACACCCCUCCCCUUGCUUGCCGUUAAUCCCAGACAGACCUGCACUGAGCAAACACCCCAGAACUGUGGCCUCUCGGAGCGCCCCAGUCUCAAGGUUAAUUAGCAGGUGAGGGCACUGCUUGCAAGAUGUACCUGUUUCCAGGGCCUCCCACCCUCCUUGGCCCGAUAGUUGUUAACUUUGUCACGUUUUCACAUCUAUCCCUUCCCAACACCAAAGACGCCAAGGGCUGAUGACCCCACCCCUGGAGGCCCACUUGAGGAGCUGGGCUGGAGGUGGGUCUGGAAGACUUGUCCUGUUGCCACAUAGAUAGGGUGACAUCAGGGUGUGGGGGCUCGUGCCCUGAGGGACAGGAGUGGGGAGGGCCCAGGGCUCAGCAUUGUUAGGAUGGCCACUCACCGAGGUUCCCAAGAAGUCACAGUCACAGCAGUGACCAGGACGAGGGGUGAUGGGACCACGUGUCCCUUGGCCAGGCAUGGCGCUACACUAGAGCUUUGGGUUGGCCUCCUACGGGCAGGGCCUUCUCUACUGUCAGCCCUGAGGCUCGGCACCCUUCCAGGGCCAGGCUGCCUGAGCUCGUCCACUUUGGCUUUCCAAUGCAAACCCUACAGCUGUGACAGAAAAUCAGUGCUCUCACCCCCGCUUGAUGUGAACCCUUCCUCAGGAACGACACUGACCUUAGUUAAAAGAGCUCUGGUUUGCUCUUAGCUAACCUCGGUCCUUCUGUGGAAAGCCCGUGGCCUGGCACCUAGACAUGCAGACGGUAGCUCCUGGUAACUGGAUGCCCUGAAGAUCACUUCAGCCUCUUUUCCCAGAGCGCUCAUCCUAGAGGGCUUCUCCUUCCAGCAGGAACACCAGCACCAGCGUUUUACGCUCGCGGGGGUGCUGCUGCCUGCAGAGCAUAGGGGUUUCUUACGGUUACUGUGUCCAUCUGCAAGUAGGAUGGGCCAGCUUGGGCCUGCCCUAUGGGAUAGGGGAGAGAAAAUGAGUGAACUUGGAAGGGCCAAUUGAACAGGUCCAGUCCACGUCAGCUUAACUUGGUAGGGAAAAGCAAAAAGAAGAAAGGCUCAGUAUUUAGGGUAACGAGUCUGAGCCCGAGCUCAAUGAGGUGGGGUCCCCUCUUGGCGGGGGAGCCACAGAGGAGGCGCCUGAAUGCCUCUGCCGCUCGGGUUGGGGGUUCAUACCAAUUCUCGGAGGAAGAAAGGGAGACUGAUGAAUUCCCUGUACAUUUUUUCAUGUGCUUGUGUUUAAGUGUGAAUUGUAAGCUGUCCAGUGUUGUUUGCAUUAAACAAAAUUGAACCUGACAGGCCACUGUAUUCUGACAGUGUUCAGUGAUGCUGGCUUUCCCAGAAAUAAUAGCCUUUGGUUUGGAGCCCACCUGAGUCCCUUCCUCCUCAGCCAAAGCUUGUGUUCUUGCCUUCAUCCCCUCGAUGAGCAGCUUAGUGUCAGGGCGUCCAGGCUUGGCUUGUGAACUGGGAGGAGAGCCGGACAUUGCAGCGGGCCCAGAGUGCAGCGGGCCCUGCGCGGUGACGGGAGGCUUCAUGUUGAGGUCAGAGGGCAUAUCUGGGCCAAACCAGGCUUGCUUGUAGUAAAACAUCACCAAGUCUCCGAACCCUGAACCACCCCCCCCCCCCGUCUUGGCCCAGACACUCAAAAUUUCUGGUCAAUCACAUUGAAGACUUAGUAAGAAUUAAAUGAUGAUGCAAAGGCACUUUACAUAUAUGAACUGUUCCUGGCACAGGAAAUAUUCAAUCCCUGUAUUUUAUUAUUUUUAAUUUUCCUCAAAGGAAAAAUCUACCAAAACUCCUAAAAAGGAGAGACAGCAAAAAACAAGACCACGGAGUAAACGUAAUUUUAAUUAUAGAUUAAAACAGUGCAUCAGACAGGGCAAAUACAACACUGUACCAGUUUUUAAAACCCUGAACUGCAAAGGUUUUACGUUCUAGUACACUUAAAUAAAACAGAAAAAAAGAGUCGCCUAGGUAACAAAACCGUACUUCAAGUUGUUUUAGAAACUCAGGUCUGUUCUAGGAACAUAAAAAGAAAAAGGACCUGUUGUGCUUCUUGGGAAUCCAUGGGGGUUUCUAGGGCUCCUGCUUGGGGCCGAGUGCAUGGGGAGUGGGGCAGGCGCUGCUCAGAAACCUGCCAGGGCCCAGCUGGGACCAAGCCAGCAGGCAGGGACCUGGCCCCAGUGCCGGGUGGCCAGCCCCGCACCCACGGCCGGCUGAACUGUCCGGGUAAGCCCACUCUGCGUUCUCAGGUUCGCUCAACAGUACCUGACAGCCCUGGGGCAGCUGGGGGGUUGAAUGUUAUUCCCGGAAUACCCAUUGAAGAAAAUCAGUGUAUCAACGGAUACAAUCACUCAGUUUACACUGGGAGCGUGAAUCGAAAGCUCAUUUCAAUUAAACUACAGUUUAGAAACAAAUCACCUAGAUGAUAAAAACUGAGCAUUGAUUUUAGAUGGUCAAAUUACCGUGGAUAAAGGUAAGGAUCAUUCGAAGAAUUA
Loxodonta africana (African savanna elephant) is the source of this 4790-nucleotide RNA transcript. It is a transcript of the gene named CD99 molecule like 2, with no coding region annotated. The record is from RefSeq and is a predicted model, not a curated record. The transcript has 11 exons. NCBI's taxonomy places the organism in Eukaryota, Metazoa, Chordata, Mammalia, Proboscidea, Elephantidae.